RNAcentral lists this transfer RNA (98 nucleotides) under Acidobacteriota bacterium. Its description in RNAcentral is "Acidobacteria bacterium tRNA-Sec". It matches the Rfam family "Selenocysteine transfer RNA". The record is from RNAcentral. RNAcentral also lists the same sequence under 3 other names. Lineage: Bacteria; Pseudomonadati; Acidobacteriota.
GGAAGCGCAUCGGUGCUGGUGUGCCGCCUGGACUUCAAAUCCAGUGGGACGUGGCGAGAGCCGGGUCCGGUGGGUUCGAUUCCCACACGCUUCCGCCA